UGGGGCAUCGUCUAAUGGUAGGACAGCGGUUUCUGGAACCGUUAAUCGUGGUUCGAGUCCAUGUACCCCAG
This 71-nucleotide transfer RNA is filed under the name Candidatus Nomurabacteria bacterium. Its description in RNAcentral is "tRNA-Gln". It matches the Rfam family "tRNA". From Rfam's summary of the family: Transfer RNA (tRNA) molecules are approximately 80 nucleotides in length. Their secondary structure includes four short double-helical elements and three loops (D, anti-codon, and T loops). Lineage: Bacteria; Candidatus Nomuraibacteriota. The record is from RNAcentral.